AGCCCACAUGCAAAGUGAAGACAAAACUCAUGGCAAAGGUGAAGGAAUUUGGUGUGUUUUGUGGUUGAAAUGAUGAAGCAAGUGUGUGCAAAUGCAAAGGGGAUCUAAACAUGGACAGCACAUGUCAUAUGCAAAGGAGAAACAAAGAUGACAACACACACAUGCAAAGAAGAAAACAGCAAGAAAGGCAUGUGCAAAAGAGAAACAUGGACAACCAACAAAUUCGUCAAAACUGCCUGUGCAGAUUAGCUGACUUUGGAAGCAUGCUACGAACAGCUCCGAAUGAAUGAGAGAAUGAGCCUUAUAUGCUUAGAAAGCUACGGAUGUCUAUUUUCUGGAGCAAGUUACAGAUUGUUAAUAUCAUUUUUCUAGAAGAAGUUAUGGGCAUUUUAACACUGAAAGGUUUAGAAACGGGCUAAGCAGAUUUGGCUAAUAAAAGGCACUUGUUUUGUGUUUUGCUUUGUCAUCAACACUCAGCAGCAAAUGGGGUUAUGAUUACACUCAUUUGUCUUAGGAGCAAGUGGAAAUGUACAGCUAGAAGAGAAGGCACAACACAUGCAAAGGAAAGGAGAAACAUGGGCUGAAAAUGUGGGUGUUUGGUGCUUGAAAUGAUGAAGCAUGUGUGUGUAAAUGUAAAGGAAAAUAGGGCAGAAAAUGUGUGUGUGUUGUGGUUGAAAUGAUGAAGCAUGUGUGUGUAAAUGUAAAGAGGAAACAUGCCAACACACACCCACAUAAGCUCACAUGCAAAGGAAAUGGAGUGGUCCUAUCUCAAGCUUAUAAAUACCACCUUCCAUAUUCAUCAAAGUCAUAACAGAUUUUCUCUCCAAAUUUAGCCA
Molecule: long non-coding RNA, 836 nt
Filed under: Malus domestica (apple)
Lineage: Eukaryota; Viridiplantae; Streptophyta; Magnoliopsida; Rosales; Rosaceae
Description: long non-coding RNA (MDOM_LNC015980)
Source: RNAcentral